GAUGAACGCUGGCGGCGUGCCUAAUACAUGCAAGUCGAGCGAACAGACGAGGAGCUUGCUCCUCUGACGUUAGCGGCGGACGGGUGAGUAACACGUGGAUAACCUACCUAUAAGACUGGGAUAACUUCGGGAAACCGGAGCUAAUACCGGAUAAUAUAUUGAACCGCAUGGUUCAAUAGUGAAAGACGGUUUUGCUGUCACUUAUAGAUGGAUCCGCACCGCAUUAGCUAGUUGGUAAGGUAACGGCUUACCAAGGCAACGAUGCGUAGCCGACCUGAGAGGGUGAUCAGCCACACUGGAACUGAGACACGGUCCAGACUCCUACGGGAGGCAGCAGUAGGGAAUCUUCCGCAAUGGGCGAAAGCCUGACGGAGCAACGCCGCGUGAGUGAUGAAGGUCUUCGGAUCGUAAAACUCUGUUAUUAGGGAAGAACAAAUGUGUAAGUAACUAUGCACGUCUUGACGGUACCUAAUCAGAAAGCCACGGCUAACUACGUG
This 497-nucleotide ribosomal RNA is filed under the name uncultured bacterium. RNAcentral describes it as "partial 16S ribosomal RNA". It matches the Rfam family "Bacterial small subunit ribosomal RNA", at positions 28 to 507 of the family's 1533-position model. The record is from RNAcentral.